This 512-nucleotide ribosomal RNA is filed under the name uncultured bacterium. RNAcentral's name for it is "bacterial SSU rRNA". It matches the Rfam family "Bacterial small subunit ribosomal RNA", at positions 16 to 518 of the family's 1533-position model. The record is from RNAcentral.
AUCAUGGCUCAGGAUGAACGCUAGCUACAGGCUUAACACAUGCAAGUCGAGGGGCAGCAUGAUCGAAGCUUGCUUUGAUUGAUGGCGACCGGCGCACGGGUGAGUAACGCGUAUCCAACCUUCCCUAUAGUAGAGGAUAGCCCGGCGAAAGUCGGAUUAAUACUCUAUGUUUUCCAAUGCAGACAUCUAAAAUGGAACAAAGGCUUGCCGCUAUAGGAUGGGGAUGCGUCUGAUUAGGUUGUUGGCGGGUAACGGCCCACCAAGCCUUCGAUCAGUAGGGGUUCUGAGAGGAAGGUCCCCCACAUUGGAACUGAGACACGGUCCAAACUCCUACGGGAGGCAGCAGUGAGGAAUAUUGGUCAAUGGGCGAGAGCCUGAACCAGCCAAGUAGCGUGCAGGAAGACGGCCCUAUGGGUUGUAAACUGCUUUUAUAUAGGGAUAAAGUGCACUACGUGUGGUGUUUUGUAGGUACUAUAUGAAUAAGGACCGGCUAAUUCCGUGCCAGCAGCUGC